AUUCGCUUCAAAAGGGCUCACAUAAGAGGAAAGCGACAUGAGCAAGACCUGAUUAGCCGAUCUCUGAGCCACUGUCGUUCAUCAGAAUUUCUGCUGUGUUUUUGCCGGGGCGUCUUGCGACAUCCUGGUACAAAGAGCAGCACACUGAUUACAAGGCUUUGAAAGGAGGAGAGGCGGUCAGGGGAGAAUAGCUACUUCUGGCACAACACAGCCACUGAAAAGAGACCUCAUGCUAGAGUGAGCUCUCAGAAUUGGGCUUGAGUCUUUCCUGUGAAUACGUGUUUGUGUGGGGGGGCAUGUUCUAUGUGAGUGUCUACCGGAGAAAGAGAGAUAGGUAGGGAGAGAAAGAGAGGCUGAGAAGUAAUGGGAGUAUUAAAGUAGAUGUUUGACUCCACAGCGUAGCAUCCCUGUGCGUUUCCUCUUUGUGCGACAGUGCCAGUAACGUUAACAGGAGUGUCAUUAGGAAUUCAAAGCAUAUGCCCUCGUGAGGACGCCCUUUUUCUCGCUCCCCAGUGCUUCACACCACACACAUUAUGCACUGUAUAAAGUAUUUAUUGGUCUUUGUGAGACUAGGGCUGCAUUUCCUGCAGAAAACAAUCAAAAGAAAGAAUAGAGUAGCCUGCCUUUUAUGCUUGUGUUUGUGUGUUCAUCACAGAGAUGAGGAUGGCCAGCACUGUAACUCAUAUUCAUAUUCACAUCCCCCUCUAUCCAAAACACUCUCCCAUGUACUUGCCUGCUCAAUCAGUCAUCCGCUUAGGCAUGCAAACACACACCCAUACACGUAUUAUCGCACGUGCACGCUCACACGCUCCCUCACAGCACCUGCAUGCUUGCACUCAUUGCACUGCAUUUUAGACGACACAUAAUUCAUCGCCCAAGAGGGUAAACACAUGCUGUGACUUCAUCCAGUUGACCUCUUUCUUAAGUAGGUAGCCACAAUAGCGGGGGUGACAUGUGGACAAAACAGAGAUAAUCCUAUGUACUCACCUAGAACUACACGCAAUGAAAACACUGAAACUACUGACUUCAGACGAGUGACAAAGACCUGGCCAUGGAGCGGUUGUCUCGGUUUCUCUUGCUCUCUUCAUCUCUCCCUGGCCCUGGCUCUGCCUGCUCUUUGUUCACUCUCUUCCUCAGCCUGCAAGUCUUUUACAGCGGCACAAGCAGAAGAAUGGCACAUUAAAUCUUAAUAGGACUGCGUCUGGCCGUGUUGAAUUGCAGAGCGUGUUAAGCCGGCGCUUUCCUCCCCCUUGGCACACGCUCGUGGAAGUGGAAAACAAUUGAAUAAAAGAAACCGCUCCCUCCCUCUGUAACACAAGUGACUUUGGCUGCCCUGCUGAAGCUAUGAGACUGAACUGACUCCGGCUCACAAAUGGCAUAAGCCCGUACUGAGAAACUGUAACAUAAAUGGCAUUAGUCCUUUUCAAUAUGCAUAGACAUACACUGGAAGGUAGACACAGGAUUUACCUGACCACCCACAAUGUAGCUGUUGCAUAUUCCCUUCUCAGUGACAGUUGGAAAAUACCACCAUAAAACUUACACUUACACUUAUAUUCCAAUAGCCUGUUGACUGAGACAAAUAUAAUAGAGUACAAGAGGACAAAACUAGAAAGGAGAGACAAAUGAAAUGUAUUGAGACAUGGGAAGGACAGAGAUAGAAAGGGGGAUGGGUAAAAGACAAAGAAGCAGAGAGAGACAGAGUCAAUGUAGGAGAGAGCCAAUCUUAGCAGCAGCAGCGAUGUGAGUCCAGGCCUGCUUUGUAAGGCAGUCAGAGGUGGUAAUUAGCCAGUGAUGAGUUGACUGGUUGUGUGUCCAGUGCACGGCCCUGCUGGGUGGGGCUGUGGGAGGUAGAUAAGGCCAGCAGUGGGCUUAUCUCUGAGAAGGACAGGCACCAGGCCUGCCAGGCAAAUCCACCCACAGUCCAGCCGCAUUUUAUUAACAACAUCAUUAAUGCCAGACAGGUUAUGUGCGGUGGCUCGUAAGAGAGACAGGAAAAAGUAAAAAACAAAUAAAGUCUCAAUUCCUGCUUGGCUGGCCAGUCUAAAGUACAUAGGCUCCGGUUGACGUGUUUUGAAAGCAAGGAGCUUGUGGAGAUGUUUACCAGGUAGGCAGCCAACGGAAGGGCACGGAGAGCAAGCUUGGAUCUUACCUCUGGGUUUUGCUCACUCUCCUCUGGGUCCGCGGAAUUCAAAUGAUUUUCUUUUUUCUCUUUCAAACGUGGGACUGCACACCAGAAUAAUGAUGAAGCAAAUACAGAGAAACAUAACUAGGCACAAAGCAAAGGCAAAAAUGUAUUUUUUAAACUUUAUGGACAUUAAGCGACUUUGAGUUUGUGAAAAGCGCUAUAUAAAUUCAAUUUAUUAUUAUUAUUAUUUAAUAUUCAAAAUGU
This is a long non-coding RNA of Sander lucioperca (pikeperch), 2389 nucleotides long. RefSeq lists it as uncharacterized. The transcript is spliced from 3 exons. The record is from RefSeq and is a predicted model, not a curated record. Lineage: Eukaryota; Metazoa; Chordata; Actinopteri; Perciformes; Percidae.